GGCCCCAUCGUCUAGUGGUUAGGACGGCGGGCUUUCAAUCCGUCAACAGGGGUUCGAUUCCCCUUGGGGCCA
Molecule: transfer RNA, 72 nt
Filed under: Candidatus Nealsoniibacteriota bacterium
Lineage: Bacteria; Candidatus Nealsoniibacteriota
Description: Candidatus Nealsonbacteria bacterium tRNA-Glu
Rfam family: tRNA
About the family: Transfer RNA (tRNA) molecules are approximately 80 nucleotides in length.
Source: RNAcentral